Molecule: ribosomal RNA, 476 nt
Filed under: uncultured bacterium
Lineage: Bacteria
Description: bacterial SSU rRNA
Rfam family: Bacterial small subunit ribosomal RNA
Source: RNAcentral
GAUGAACGCUAGCGGCAGGCUUAACACAUGCAAGUCGAGGGGCAGCACGGGUAGCAAUACCUGGUGGCGACCGGCGCAAGGGUGCGUAACGCGUGAGCAACAUGCCCUAUACAGGGGGAUAAUCCAGGGAAACUUGGUCUAAUAUCCCAUAGCAUUUAGAGGAGGCAUCUUCACUAAAUUAAAGCUUCGGUGGUAUAGGAUUGGCUCGCGUGACAUUAGCUAGAUGGUGAGGUAACGGCCCACCAUGGCUAUGAUGUCUAGGGGUUCUGAGAGGAAGACCCCCCACACUGGGACUGAGACACGGCCCAGACUCCUACGGGAGCAGCAGUGAGGAAUAUUGGACAAUGGAUGGAAAUCUGAUCCAGCCAUGCCGCGUGCAGGAAGACGGCCCUAUGGGUUGUAAACUGCUUUUAAUGGGAGCAAUAAGGUUUACGAGUAGACCGAUGAGAGUACCAUAUGAAUAAGCAUCGGCUAAC